CUAACACAUGCAAGUCAAGGGGAACGGGCCUUUCGGGGCCUUAUUACACUGGCGGACGGGUGAGUAACGCGUAGGUUACCUGCCCCCAUCACCGGCAUAACUUCGGGAAACCGGCGCUAAUACCGGAUGAGGCCUUCGGGUCAAAGCUUCGGCGGAUGGGGAUGGGCCUGCGUCUGAUUAGUUAGUUGGCGGGGUAACGGCCCACCAAGGCGACGAUCAGUAACUGGUCUGAGAGGACGAUCAGUCACACUGGAACUGAGACACGGUCCAGACUCCUACGGGAGGCAGCAGUGAGGAAUUUUGGUCAAUGGGGGAAACCCUGAACCAGCGACGCCGCGUGCGGGAUGACGGGGUUUUGCCCUGUAAACCGCUGUCGGGGGGGAAGAAAAGCCUAUUUUGUAGGCCGGGACAGUACCCCCAAAGGAAGGACCGGCUAACUAC
RNAcentral lists this ribosomal RNA (441 nucleotides) under uncultured bacterium. Its description in RNAcentral is "bacterial SSU rRNA". It matches the Rfam family "Bacterial small subunit ribosomal RNA", at positions 48 to 504 of the family's 1533-position model. The record is from RNAcentral.